AGAGUAUAGUAUUUACCAGAAAAAAAAAAUUUUAGUUUAAUUUUUAGUAUUUUCAUGUGAUGGCAAAUUUACGACAUUUGCUUUGUGUGCUACUCAAUCAAGAUCGCGCGAAAUUGGCAAAAAAGUACACCCCUUUGAAAAGUUGGCCACGACUGCGUUAACUGGGUUUUGCAGGUUUUUGGAUAUCUAAUGUUGAAUUGGAUUUGGCUCGGCAUGCGAUGGAUUUGUGUCAUAAUUGAAUUGCCCCGCUUGCAGAUCUACACGCGAUAUUCGCCGCCCAAGCGGUGUAGAGGACUGGAAAACUAAUUUGGCCGCGGCAGAUGGAAACCCUUUGCGUCAUGUGGACGUCGUCCGAGGAAUGUUCCUUUGGGGCAACACCCACAAUGGACGCUGGAAGCCGUCAACAGCCAUUAGCACUUUGGCACAUAAUUGAUACGUGGCUGGACCAUAAAGCAAAAUGCAUAGACAUCUACCUGGACAGACCCGGGCCCACGAACGCGACUCGCCGCGCACAAAGCGACGUUGUAGGAAAAGGAAUUCCUUUCGUUGUGUCCAUUCCCGCCAUGUUCCUCAGAUUUUUCCGCACAACACCUUCGGGGGCGUUGUGCCAUAUGACACCAUCACCAUACCGAA
Long non-coding RNA from Drosophila santomea, 633 nucleotides. RefSeq lists it as uncharacterized. Lineage: Eukaryota; Metazoa; Arthropoda; Insecta; Diptera; Drosophilidae. The transcript is spliced from 3 exons. The record is from RefSeq and is a predicted model, not a curated record.